RNAcentral lists this ribosomal RNA (253 nucleotides) under uncultured bacterium. RNAcentral describes it as "partial 16S ribosomal RNA". It matches the Rfam family "Bacterial small subunit ribosomal RNA", at positions 524 to 776 of the family's 1533-position model. The record is from RNAcentral.
UACGUAGGGGGCUAGCGUUGUCCGGAUUUAUUGGGCGUAAAGAGCGUGUAGGCGGCCAAGUAAGUCCGGUGUGAAAACUCGAGGCUUAACCUCGAGAUGUCAUCGGAAACUAUUUGGCUAGAGUCCGGAAGAGGAGAGUGGAAUUCCUGGUGUAGCGGUGAAAUGCGUAGAUAUCGGGAGGAACACCAGUGGCGAAGGCGGCUUUCUGGCCCGUUCUUGACGCUGAGGCGCGAAAGCUAGGGUAGCAAACGGG